Molecule: transfer RNA, 71 nt
Filed under: Hoplias intermedius
Lineage: Eukaryota; Metazoa; Chordata; Actinopteri; Characiformes; Erythrinidae
Description: tRNA-Thr
Rfam family: tRNA
About the family: Transfer RNA (tRNA) molecules are approximately 80 nucleotides in length. Their secondary structure includes four short double-helical elements and three loops (D, anti-codon, and T loops).
Source: RNAcentral
GUAUUAGUAGCUUAAUUUAAAGCAUCGGUCUUGUAAUCCGAAGAUCGGAGGUUAAACCCCUCCCUAAUGCC